AUAUGCCUACAACAUAGCGUCCGUGCAUUGAAUCCCAUUAGAACUCUACAAUUAAGCACGUUCAGGCUAGAGUAGUACUGGGAUGGGUGACCACUCAGGAAGUCCUAGUAUUUUACAUGCC
Picea glauca (white spruce) is the source of this 121-nucleotide non-coding RNA. NCBI's taxonomy places the organism in Eukaryota, Viridiplantae, Streptophyta, Pinopsida, Pinales, Pinaceae. The record is from Rfam.